UUGAUAGUACAAAGAGAGGGGAGAAAGAAGACGCCAAAAGAAAGAAAAAGGAAGAAGACCCAUCUUAUUUUACAAGAGAGCCUGGCGGCUAGUAACUCUCAAAACAGAGAGAGAGAGAGAUAGAGAGAGAGUCCUUUUCUAACAAUCUAGAUAGGAUUUUUACUAAGACAAUUCUCAGAUCUGUCUCUUCCUUUUUCAUAUUCCACCUGUACGUUUGCAUUUCAGGUUGGCUUUAGAGAUAUCUCUAAUCUAAUUCUUGUUCGAUCUGCAUAAAUGGAUCCAAUGGGUGAAGAACAAUUAGAUUAUGAGGAUGAUGAGUACGGGGGAAGUCAGAAACUGCAGUUUCAGGGCAGCGGAGCGAUCUCUGCACUUGCCGAUGAGGAGCUAAUGGGGGAAGAUGAUGAGUAUGAUGAUCUUUACAAUGAUGUGAAUGUUGGUGAGGGUUUCAUGCAGUCAAUGCAACGGAAUGAGAUGCCAGUUUCAUUAGGUGGUGUGGGAAAUGGGGGACACCAAGGCCAGAAGGUCGACGGGGGCCCUGGGUUGAGGGUUUCAGAGCCUGUUGUGUCGCAAGAGGUGAGCAUCCCCGGUGUUGGGGUGGGAGGGAAGGAGUCGAAUGUUGGUGCUGCCGGUUUCUCCGAUGAACAGAAAAAGACAACAUCUUUGUCUGGCAAAGGUUUGGAAGAUAGAACUAGUGAUUACCCAGCUGGGGUUUCUCAAAAAGGUCGUGUUUUGGAUAUAGCUCCUGAGCCUCAAGUAGGAAAUUCAGGAUUUCAAGGAUCCAUGCCUGUUAUGCCAAAUGUCGUUGCUGAUCCUGGUCAAGUGCCAGCAAGGUUUGUUGGUGGGCCGUCUUCAUUUCCAGAUCAGGCCAGUGGUGGUGCCAGAAGUGGUCCCCCGAUGGCAAUCAAUCAAGUGGGAACAGGUGUGAACAGGCCAGUGGUCAAUGAUAACACGAUCAGACCUGUAGUAGGUUCUGUAGAGAAUGGCACAGCUACUCUAUUUGUGGGAGAAUUGCAUUGGUGGACUACUGAUGCAGAGCUUGAGAGCGUCUUGUCUCAGUAUGGUAGGGUCAAGGAAAUCAAGUUCUUUGACGAGAGAGCCAGUGGAAAAUCGAAAGGCUAUUGUCAAGUUGAGUUCUAUGAUUCUACUGCAGCGGCUGCUUGCAAGGAAGGGAUGAACGGUCAUGUGUUUAAUGGGCGGGCUUGUGUGGUGACAUUUGCUUCAUCUCAAACUUUGAGGCAGAUGGGUGCUUCUUAUAUGCACAGAACCCAAGCACAAGCUCCAUCUCAGCCUCAAGGAAGGAGACCAAUGAAUGAUGGGGUUGGUAGAGGUACUGGAAUGAAUUAUCAGGGAGGAGAUGGCGGGAGGAAUUAUGGUAGGGCUGGGUGGGGUCGAGGUGGUCAGGGAUUACUUAAUAGAGGGCAAGGUGGACCAAUGAGGGGAAGAGGGUCUAUGGGAGGAAGGGGAAUGGUUGGAAAUACAGGUGGGGUUGGAAGCGGCACCACUGGAGGCCCUUAUGGACAGGGCCUUGUGGGCCCUGCAUUAGGUGGUCCCACUGGGGGGCUGAUGCAUCCACAGAGCAUGAUGGGUGCUGCAUUUGAUCCGACAUAUAUGGGCCGAGGAACUGCUUAUGGGGGGUUUCCUGGACCUGCUUUUCCUGGGAUGAUGCCUUCGUUUCCUGCCGUUAAUACAGUUGCUGUUCCUGGAGUCGCACCACAUGUUAAUCCAGCUUUCUUUGGCCGAGGAAUGCCUGCAAAUGGAAUGGGAAUGAUGGGUAGCACCGGGAUGGAUGGGCAUACAGGGAUGUGGACAGAUGCAAGCAUGACUGGAUGGGUGGGAGAUGAACAGGGGAGAAGGACUAGGGAAUCGAGUUAUGGUGGUGAUGAUGUAGCAUCUGAUUACGGGUAUGCAGAUGCAAGCCAUGAAAGAGGAGGAAGAUCAAAUGCCCCACGAGAGAAGGACACAAGGGGUUCCGAGCGCGACUGGUCAGGGAAUUCCGAAAGAAGGCAUCGUGAUGAGAGGGAACAGGAUUGGGACAGGUCGGAUAGGGAUAGAGACCGGUACAGGGAUGAAAAAGAUGGGUACAGGGACCACAGGCAGAGGGAUCGCGACUGGGACAACGAAGAGGACUGGGAUAGAGGGCAAUCCUCAAGGUCUCGUAGCAAAUCGCGUAUGAUGCAAGAGGAAGAUCACAGGUCUCGAUCUAGGGAUGCAGACUAUGGGAAGAGGCGGCGGUCUGACUGACAUGAUCUGAUGCUGUUCCACUAUCCUUCUCUUUCAGCAGGGAGUUUAACAGAUGGACAGAUCUUAUGGAGGCUGCUGGCGUAUGUCUGGUGUCACAUUUCAUCAGGCACAGCAGGAAAUUUUUAGUGCUUGUUUUUCUCAAGCACUUUGAGGCCUAACCCUGUUAACUAUUCUUGUACUCCUGGAAGAUGGAUGCCUCUCUCAUUGUGCAUGGGCCUCAUUUUUGAAAAUUUCCAGUAUAGGAAGAUGGGACAUACUGGGUUCUGUGCUGGGUUGAACAUCGUGGAGUCUUGAGUGUUUAAAGGGGAUGUUGAAGGUCAGUCUUGUAUAGAAGCCUGAUCAUGUUUUAUAUGUAAGGGAAGAUUUUUUUGUCUGUAACAUGUUCAUGUAGAGAAUUGUAGAUGGCCCAAGGAAGAUUUUUUCUGUAACAUAUUCUUGUAGAAAAUUGUAGAUGGCCUUGGCUUGUAUAGGUUCUUUGUUGUCGUCGGUGAGCUUGUAAAGUCCUUUAUUCCCUUCACACUUGUAAUUGAUACUAGCUGUACAUGUCAGCUACUGUACUAUGGGGUUUUCCCCCUUCAUCUGUAACCAGAGAUGAUAAGAUCAAUGGAAACUGGCUUCGUCAAAGCAACUUCACUGUAA
This is an RNA transcript of Magnolia sinica, 2880 nucleotides long. RefSeq lists it as uncharacterized. Lineage: Eukaryota; Viridiplantae; Streptophyta; Magnoliopsida; Magnoliales; Magnoliaceae. The record is from RefSeq and is a predicted model, not a curated record. The transcript is spliced from 3 exons.